This 246-nucleotide long non-coding RNA is filed under the name Lathyrus oleraceus (garden pea). RNAcentral describes it as "Pisum sativum (pea) long non-coding RNA (PSAT_LNC008891)". Lineage: Eukaryota; Viridiplantae; Streptophyta; Magnoliopsida; Fabales; Fabaceae. The record is from RNAcentral.
GAGAAUAUCAUAACAAAUCCAGGAUUGUUAACAACUUAUUAGAGAUCCAAUAACAAAAUAAAUAACAUAUAAAAUCAAUCAUACUAAAACAAAAACACAAGGAAUUGAAAAUCUUCAUACUUGCACUCUAGACAAACCACCUGAUUCAAAUAAAGUAAUCCAGCCUUCAUCAGCAUCUGAGUCAAAAUCUUGUCUUUGAACAUGUCUCUUCUUCAAAUACUUCAUCUUUGUUACACAUUUCCUCCC